UACGGAGGGUGCAAGCGUUGUCCGGAUUUAUUGGGUUUAAAGGGUGCGUAGGCGGCCUAAUAAGUCAGUGGUGAAAGCCUCCAGCUUAACUGGAGAACUGCCAUUGAUACUGUUAGGCUUGAGUAUACUUGAGGUAGGCGGAAUUGACAGUGUAGCGGUGAAAUGCAUAGAUAUUGUCAAGAACACCGAUUGCGAAGGCAGCUUACUAAGUUAUAACUGACGCUGAGGCACGAAAGUGUGGGUAUCAAACAGG
This 253-nucleotide ribosomal RNA is filed under the name uncultured bacterium. Its description in RNAcentral is "partial 16S ribosomal RNA". It matches the Rfam family "Bacterial small subunit ribosomal RNA", at positions 524 to 776 of the family's 1533-position model. The record is from RNAcentral.